GGAGAUGUAGAUUAGUGGUAGACCAUUAGCCUAGAAUGCAGAAGGCCCUGGGUUUAAAUUUCCAGCAUCUCAU
Molecule: transfer RNA, 73 nt
Filed under: Heterocephalus glaber (naked mole-rat)
Lineage: Eukaryota; Metazoa; Chordata; Mammalia; Rodentia; Bathyergidae
Rfam family: tRNA
About the family: Transfer RNA (tRNA) molecules are approximately 80 nucleotides in length. Their secondary structure includes four short double-helical elements and three loops (D, anti-codon, and T loops). Further hydrogen bonds mediate the characteristic L-shaped molecular structure. tRNAs have two regions of fundamental functional importance: the anti-codon, which is responsible for specific mRNA codon recognition, and the 3' end, to which the tRNAs corresponding amino acid is attached (by aminoacyl-tRNA synthetases). tRNAs cope with the degeneracy of the genetic code in two manners: having more than one tRNA (with a specific anti-codon) for a particular amino acid; and 'wobble' base-pairing, i.e. permitting non-standard base-pairing at the 3rd anti-codon position.
Source: Rfam by way of RNAcentral